AUUGAACGCUGGCGGCAUGCCUUACACAUGCAAGUCGAACGGCAGCGCGGGGCAACCUGGCGGCGAGUGGCGAACGGGUGAGUAAUAUAUCGGAACGUGCCCUGGAGUGGGGGAUAACGUAGCGAAAGUUACGCUAAUACCGCAUACGAUCUAAGGAUGAAAGUGGGGGAUCGCAAGACCUCAUGCCCCUGGAGCGGCCGAUAUCUGAUUAGCUAGUUGGUGGGGUAAAGACCUACCAAGGCAUCGAUCAGUAGCUGGUCUGAGAGGACGACCAGCCACACUGGAACUGAGACACGGUCCAGACUCCUACGGGAGGCAGCAGUGGGGAAUUUUGGACAAUGGGCGCAAGCCUGAUCCAGCAAUGCCGCGUGAGUGAAGAAGGCCUUCGGGUUGUAAAGCUCUUUUGUCAGGGAAGAAACGGUGAGGGCUAAUAUCCUUUGCUAAUGACGGUACCUGAAGAAUAAGCACCGGCUAACUACGUGCCAGCAGCCGCGGUAAUACGUAGGGUGCAAGCGUUAAUCGGAAUUACUGGGCGUAAAGCGUGCGCAGGCGGUUUUGUAAGUCUGUCGUGAAAUCCCCGGGCUCAACCUGGGAAUUGCGAUGGAGACUGCAAGGCUAGAAUCUGGCAGAGGGGGGUAGAAUUCCACGUGUAGCAGUGAAAUGCGUAGAGAUGUGGAGGAACACCGAUGGCGAAGGCAGCCCCCUGGGUCAAGAUUGACGCUCAUGCACGAAAGCGUGGGGAGCAAACAGGAUUAGAUACCCUGGUAGUCCACGCCCUAAACGAUGUCUACUAGUUGUCGGGUUUUAAUUAACUUGGUAACGCAGCUAACGCGUGAAGUAGACCGCCUGGGGAGUACGGUCGCAAGAUUAAAACUCAAAGGAAUUGACGGGGACCCGCACAAGCGGUGGAUGAUGUGGAUUAAUUCGAUGCAACGCGAAAAACCUUACCUACCCUUGACAUGUACGGAAUCCCGAAGAGAUUUGGGAGUGCUCGAAAGAGAGCCGUAACACAGGUGCUGCAUGGCUGUCGUCAGCUCGUGUCGUGAGAUGUUGGGUUAAGUCCCGCAACGAGCGCAACCCUUGUCAUUAGUUGCUACGAAAGAGCACUCUAAUGAGACUGCCGGUGACAAACCGGAGGAAGGUGGGGAUGACGUCAAGUCCUCAUGGCCCUUAUGGGUAGGGCUUCACACGUCAUACAAUGGUACAUACAGAGGGCCGCCAACCCGCGAGGGGGAGCUAAUCCCAGAAAGUGUAUCGUAGUCCGGAUUGUAGUCUGCAACUCGACUACAUGAAGUUGGAAUCGCUAGUAAUCGCGGAUCAGCAUGUCGCGGUGAAUACGUUCCCGGGUCU
This 1350-nucleotide ribosomal RNA is filed under the name uncultured bacterium. RNAcentral describes it as "bacterial SSU rRNA". It matches the Rfam family "Bacterial small subunit ribosomal RNA", at positions 28 to 1381 of the family's 1533-position model. The record is from RNAcentral.